Molecule: ribosomal RNA, 181 nt
Filed under: Vibrio cholerae
Lineage: Bacteria; Pseudomonadati; Pseudomonadota; Gammaproteobacteria; Vibrionales; Vibrionaceae
Description: partial 16S ribosomal RNA
Rfam family: Bacterial small subunit ribosomal RNA
Source: RNAcentral
UUAAUUGAAGAGUUUGAUCAUGGCUCAGAUUGAACGCUGGCGGCAGGCCUAACACAUGCAAGUCGAGCGGCAGCACAGAGGAACUUGUUCCUUGGGUGGCGAGCGGCGGACGGGUGAGUAAUGCCUGGGAAAUUGCCCGGUAGAGGGGGAUAACCAUUGGAAACGAUGGCUAAUACCGCAU